ACCGGCGCACGGGUGCGUAACGCGUAUGCAACCUACCUUUAACUGGAGGAUAGCCCCGAGAAAUCGGGAUUAAUACUCCAUAAUAUUUUUUAGUGGCAUCACAUAAAAAUUAAAGCUUUGGCGGUUAAAGAUGGGCAUGCGUGACAUUAGUUAGUUGGUGAGGUAACGGCUCACCAAGACUACGAUGUCUAGGGGUUCUGAGAGGAUUAACCCCCACACUGGUACUGAGACACGGACCANACUCCUACGGGAGGCAGCAGUGAGGAAUAUUGGUCAAUGGACGCAAGUCUGAACCANCCAUGCCGCGUGAAGGAUGAAGGCCUUAUGGGUUGUAAACUUCUUUUAUACGGGAAUAAACUUANUUAUGUAUAACUAACUGCANGUCCGUAUNAAUAANCACCGCUACUCCGUGCCANCACCCCGGUAUACNGANGGUCCANCUUAUCCGAUUAUUUGGUUUAAGGGUCCCANNCNACUAUAA
Molecule: ribosomal RNA, 481 nt
Filed under: uncultured bacterium
Lineage: Bacteria
Description: partial 16S ribosomal RNA
Rfam family: Bacterial small subunit ribosomal RNA
Source: RNAcentral